Molecule: ribosomal RNA, 407 nt
Filed under: uncultured bacterium
Lineage: Bacteria
Description: partial 16S ribosomal RNA
Rfam family: Bacterial small subunit ribosomal RNA
Source: RNAcentral
GACGAACGCUGGCGGCGUGCCUAAUACAUGCAAGUAGAACGCAGUUGCGAACGGGUGAGUAACGCGUAGGUAACUGCCUGGUAGCGGGGGAUAACUAUUGGAAACGAUAGCUACUACCGCAUACUACCAGAUGGACCUGCGUUGUAUUAGCUAGUUGGUGGGGUAACGUCUCACCAAGGCAACGAUACAUAGCCGACCUGAGAGGGGGAUAGGCCAAACUGGGACUGAGAAACGGCACAGACUCCUACGGGAGGCAGGAGUAGGGAAUCUGCGGCAAUGGACGGAAGGAUGAACGAGCAAAGCCGCGGGAGUGAAGAAGGUGUUCGGAUCGUAAAGCUCUGUUGUAAGAGAAGCGGUAUCUUACCAGAAAGGGACGGCUAACUACGUGCCAGCCGCCGCGGUAAUAC